UUCUUUACAUCACUUUAUUUUGCUAACUCUAGCAAUCAUUGUUCUUUAACUUUACUCGUUCUUUAUGCCACUUUCAUUUUCUUUCCCUAUCUCUAAUCAUUAUCAUUGUUCUUUGCGUCACAUUUCUCUUUGAUGCCACACACACUAACUCUAGUGUCACUUUUCUUUACAUUAUCGAAUGCCACUCGAUCUAUAUUUUAUUGUGUCACUUUGUUCUUUCAUCUCAUUGGGUGCUCACAUUAUAUCUCAUGCAUACAUAUAGGGUUAAAUAGGCUCUCAAACAUUUCAAAUAGCAUGUGUACUCACAUCAUGCAACAUUCACAUGUAUAUCAUCACAUCUACCCUAUAAUGCAUGCAACAAUAUAAAUAUAUGCUCAAUUGAAUGACACAUUAGGCAUAGAGGGAAUUCCAACAAGUUUGGAUAGCAACCCACCUCGUAAGCGUACUAGGAUACUACAAUGAUUUUCUUGGGAUUUUUAGCCUCUUAGUUCAUCACCUGCGGCAAAACGAAGUCCCAUUAGGCUAUUUUGCUCAUAUCUUUACAUUGGCUUUUCGUAACGUCAAUCCGAGCGCACCAACGCGUCGGAAAUACCCCCAAUUAGGUUUCUAGAGGGUCAAUUUCGCUUUGAAACCCUCCAGAGCAAAAGCCCCAAAUUUGGGUGCCCUAGCUCAUAGCGUAUCAAAACCUAGGGUUUGAUCUCUUAGAGAAGCAAAAGUAAGCUUCAAAUCAUCUAAAGGUUCCAUUUGAACCAUCCUUAGCUCAUUCAAAACCCAUUUUAGGGUUUCACCAUGGGAGGGAUGGAAGCUUUCCUCUAAGCUUCACCACCAACACCCAAAUCCAUGGUUUUGAUCUCUAAAAGAAGCAAAAGAAAGCUUCAAAUACUUAAUAGGUUCCAUUAAAACCAUUUCUAGGUCCAUUCAAACCCUAGUUGAGCUUUACCACUAUUGGGGUUCAAAGCUUACCUUGUAAGCUUUCCUUUUCCAAGCUAGGGAAGGAGAGGAGGGGUCUUCUUUUCCUCCUUGCCUUCUUCUUCACCUUCUUUCUCUUCUUUUCCUCUUCUUUCUUUGUCUUCUUCUUCUCCUUCUUGUCUUCUAGAGAGAGAAAGAGAGAUGAGAGGGAGUGUGUGAGGGAGAGAAUGAGAGGAAAAAGCCCUCAAAGCCCUCCACUUAACCAUUAGGUUGCACAAAAGCAAAUAGGCCCCCCAACUUUCAUUUUAUUGAACUGCUCAAACUGGGCAGAUUUCGGGUUCGGGGACCGGUCUCCCCGACUUGGGACCGGUCCCAGAGAGCUGCUCCCCGCAGCUGCGCAGGGCUCCCCGCGAUGCAACCGGUCUCUCCCAGGGGGACCGGUCUCUCGGGGAUCGGUCUCUCUCCGCAGGGAUCGGUUCCCGAGAGCUGGUUUUCUGGGACUUAGCCGAUUUUCGGCCUUUCUCAUUUCUCACGCGUUCGGGGACUGGUCUCUCCCACCAGGGACCGGUCCCCGAGAGCACAAAACCUGCAGAAUGCAGAUUUUUGAUUCUUUAGCUCUCGAAAACCUCCCACAACGCACUUUCGGUCAUUUUAACACCUUCGGACUUUCCGAAGUGCACCAUCCUCGGGCUUUGGUCAAUUUGACUAAAGUUCGAUAUUUAUUUUCCGAAUUUUCGGUAUAUUAUAUUCUCCACCCCUUAAAAUAAUUUCGUCCACGAAAUUACGCAUACCUUAACUUGUCGACUCAAAUAAAUGCGGAUACUCUCUCCGCAUGGUCUCCUUGAGCUCCCAAGUGGCUUCUCGCACAGCAUGGUUGUUCCAUUAGACUUUCACAUACGGAAUUCUUUCUUCUCUUUCAAGGAUGCACACCGGGUACUCCUCAUAAGACAUAUCCUCACGUAACUCCAGGGGCUCGUGCUCUAACAUAUGUGUCGAGUUACGAAUAUACUUUCGGAGAUUUGACACAUGAAAAAUAUUGUAAACUCUCGCGAGUCUCGGUGGUAGUGCGAGCUUGUACGCUACUGCCCCCACACGCUCUAGUAUCUCGAAUGGUCCAACAUAACGAGGACUUAGCUUCCCGCGGACCCCAAAACGUUUGACUCCUCGCAUCGGCGAUACUCUUAAUAAUACGCGGUCUCCAACCGCAAACUCUAAGUCCUUUCUUCGCUUAUCGGCAUAACUCUUUUGUCGAGAUUGCGUCGCCGCUAAUCGUUGACGGGCAAGACGAACCUUUUCUUCCGCCUCCCGUACCACAUCCGGGCCAAGAGCCGUUCUCUCGCCCACAUCGCUCCAAUGAAUAGGAGAACGACACUUUCGACCAUAUAGUGCUUCAAAUGGCACCAUCGCUAUACUCUCUUGAUAACUGUUAUUAUACGCGAACUCCGCCAUCAGCAAAAAAUCAUGCCAUCCUCCCUUAUAAUCCAGUGCACACGCUCAAAGCAAGUCCUCGAGAAUCUGUAUUGUUCGCUCUGACUGUCCAUCACUUUGAGGAUGAAACGCUGUGCUGAAGUCGAGCCGUGUGCCUAGCGCGUCCUGCUGGCUCUUCCAAAAGUGGGAUGUGAACCUGGGGUCUCGAUUCGAUACAAUUGAUACCGGAACCCCAUGAAGUCUCACAACCUCGUCGAGAUAAACUUGAGCUAGCUUGUCUCCCGACCACGUAGUAUGUAUCGGCAAGAAGUGUGCCGACUUUGUCAAUUGAUCCACUAUCACCCAUAUUGCAUCAUGUCCGCCUUGUGAUCGAGGCAAACCGGUAAUAAAGUCCAUCGCUAUAUCUUCCCAUUUCCAAACGGGUAUUGAUAGACUUUGUAGCUUUCCCGCCGAAAAUCGGCGCUCGGCUUUCACCUGUUGGCACAUUAAACAUUGCGCCACGAACUCCCUAAUAUCUUUCUUCAUACCCGGCCUCCAAUAAUACUCUUUCAAGUCCUUGUACAUUUUAGUGCCGCUCGGGUGUAUACUAUAAGGGGAUUGGUACGCUUCUUGCAUGAUCGCCCUUCGUAACUCAUCAUCCUUAGGCACACACCAUUGAUUUCUAAAUCGAAGUGCGCCCUCGGCUCCAAUACCAAAGUCUUCGGCAUUACCACUCUCAACUUCACUUCGUACUUUUUGAAGAUAAGGAUCCGAAGCUUGGAGUUCCUUGAUCUUUUCCAACAGGGUCGGUUGCACAACUAAUGCGGCAAGUGUAGCUGACACUCCCGGCGCUACCACUUCCAACCCAAGUCUUUGCAAUAUUUUUUGCAAUAGCGGUUGAGGCGUAAUUGCCAUCGCUAAGUUCUCCGCUGAUUUUCUACUCAAAGCAUCGGCCACGACAUUAGCUUUCCCGGGGUGGUAUAGUAUAGUGACAACAUAGUCCUUUAGCAAUUCUAACCACCGCCGCUGUCGCAUGUUCAACUCCUUCUUGGUGAACAAGUACUUUAGACUUUUAUAAUCCGUGUAGAUCUCGCAAUGCUCACUAUACAAGUAAUGCCUCCAAAGCUUUAGCGCGAAGAUCACCGCAGCUAACUCAAGGUCGUGAAUCGGAUAGUUCUUCUCAUAGCUCUUUAAUUGGCACGAUGCAUAAGCAAUGACCCGCCCUUUUUGCAUUAGUACACACCCAAGACCAACAUAAAAGGCAUCACUGUAGACUACAAAAGUCUCCCCCGGAGUCAGUAAGGCAAGCACCGGGGUCGACGUCAAUCUGCUCUUUAACUCUUCGAAGCUCCGAUCACAAUCGUCGCUCAAGACAUACUUUACUCCUUUAUGCAUGAGGCGCGUUAGUGGAGUAGUUAUUUUAGCGAACCCCUACACGAACCGCCGGUAGUAGCCCGCAAGUCCAAAAAAACUGCGGACCUUUGCUACAUUCGUUGGGCGAGGCCAAUCCUUUAUUGCCUCUACCUUCUUCGGAUCUACCGAAACUCCGUCGCCCGAUACCACAUGACCCAAGAAUGUGACUUCCUUUAGCCAAAAGUCACACUUCUUUAACUUUGCAUAGAGCUUCUCCUGUCUGAGUAUUUGCAACACAGCUCUCAGAUGCUCCUCGUGCUCCUCUUCAUUCUUUGAGUAAACCAAUACGUCGUCUAUAAACACCACGACGCACCGGUCCAAUAACGGCCUGAAGACUCGGUUCAUCAAGUCCAUAAAUGCUGCCGGGGCAUUAGUAAGUCCAAAUGGCAUUACCGUGAACUCAUAAUGGCCAUACCGCGUACGGUACGCCGUCUUGUGCACAUCCUUCGGCCUAAUCUUUAGUUGAUGAUACCCCGAUUGGAGAUCAAUCUUCGAAUACACCUUGGACCCUUGCAACUGAUCGAAUAAAUCGUCAAUCCUUGGCAACGGGUACUUGUUCUUUAUCGUUACUUUCUUCAACUCGCGAUAAUCUACGCAGAGUCGAAGUGUGCCAUCCUUUUUCUUUACAAAUAGCACCAGAGCUCCCCACGGUGACACGCUCGGCCUCACGAAGCCUUUAUCGAGCAAGUCUUGUAAUUGGCCUUUUAGCUCCUUUAACUCUACCGGUGCCAUUCUAUACGAAGCAUUCGAAACUGGUUCCGCCCCGGGAAUCAAGUCAAUGACGAACUCAACUUUCCAGUCCGGCGGCAGUCCUGGUAACUCCGCCGGAAACACAUCCGGGUACUCGCACACUACUCGAAUAUCCCCCAACUCUGGGUACUCCUCCUUUCGAGCAUCCACCAUGGUUGCCAAAUAGGCCUUACACCCUCCUUUGAUCAUCCUCUUUGCCAUUACAGACGAUAUGGUCGCCACGAAGCGCCUACUUUUGCACGCUUGGUACACCAAUUCUUCUUGAUCAAGCUCACAAAAAGUGAUCACCUUGCUUUCACAAUCUAUAACCGCAUAGUACUUGGAGAGCCAGUUGGUCCCCAAGAUAACAUCGAAUCCCCACAUCUGAUCUAGCACCAGCAGAUCAAUCGGCAUAAUCCAAUCGCCUAUUUGCACUGGACACGCCAAACACUCAUUGUGGACACUGAAUGAAUGUUCAGGGACGUUCACCCACCAGUAAUCCUCAUUGUAUAUCAUCUCUAUGCCAUGAGUUUGAGCAAAUGAUCCGCUAAUGAAUGAAUGAGAUGCGCCUGUAUCAAAUACUGUUCUAGCUCUAGUGCCUUUAAUCACAAUUAUACCUGCCACGACGUCAUCGGGUGCUGCAGGUUGUUGCUCCUCCACCUGAGCGGCAAAGACUCGGCCACUAGGCGCUCUUGAUCCCUCCGGCUGACGCAGUGAUGACGCGCGCCCAGCCGACAUUGCUGGUGGCAACCCCGCAAGCUGUCUCGGGGUAGACGGUGAUGAUACCACUGCCGGUGCAGACGACGUCCACGUCGGAUACUCCCGGAUAAGAUGUCCCAGUUGGCCGCACUUGAAACACUUGCCAUCGCGCUGCGGGCAAGUCGACACUCGGUGCUCACCGCCACAAAUAACACAUCAAGGAGGUCUCCAGUUCUUCGACUGCUGUCGGGGAUACCGAGAGGGUUUCUUAGUAUUUGGCCGGCCCCCGGCACCACCCGCCGUUCGCUUCUUGCCCUUGUCCUUGCUCUCGGCCAUAGCCUCCUGUUCUUCACGUACGUGGGCGCUACCGUGCUCCGCCCACAAUGCCCUGUCAAAGAUCCCCGCAAAGGUCGACAAUUUCAGAAUCUGCACCUUUUCAUAGAUCCUCGGCUGGAGUCCUCGCAAGAACCAAUCAGCCCGAUCCCGAUCAUCUCGAACAACAUCGGGAACACAGUCAAUAAUGUGAGAGAACUCUUGCUCAUAUUCCCCCACCGAUCGAUCACCCUGUCUCAACUUGCGGAACUUCUCUUGUAGUCUCCGCUUUACCGUGUCGAGAAAGUAGUUCGCGAAGAUUGCUCUCUUGAACUCCUCCCACAGCAUAAGCGGAAGAUCGGUAGGUCGAUCCCGCUUGACUCGCUUCCACCACACCAUCGCCGCCUUCUCAAGACAAUGGGUUGUAAGGUACACUUUGUCCUUCUCCGAGGUAUUGAGAUCCUCGAAGAGCGUUUCCAUCGAGUCGAUCCACGACUCCACAACCGCUGGCUCCACCAAACCGCCUUCAAAGGUAGGUGGGUCAAACUUCUUAAAUUGAAUAAGAGCUGCCAACGUGCGCUCUCGCUCCGCCUCUAUCGCCGCAUUAUCGGGAUUUGAGGUUCCCGACCCAGCUGGUACUACCGUAACUGGAACAGCCGCUGCUGCCGCUGCUCCCCCGUCUACGCUUGGCACUACCACAGGGGGUGCGACAUGCUCGACACCCGCCUGGGCCGCCGCCGCUUGCUGAUGCUCCAAGGCCUCCUGGAGCCGCUGAAUCUGUUCCCCUUGGCGUUGAACAGACUCCGCUUGUUGCCGCACUACGCCUAUAAGUGCGGCCAUCUGCUCCCUAAGCUCUCCAUCGCCACUCGCUCCGGAUCGCUCGGGCUCUGCAUUCGGCUCUUGUGGCAUCGACCUUGUCUGCGGUCGACCACGAGGUGCCAUUACUUCCUGAAAAGAAGCAACUCGCAUUAGUUACAUAACCAACAUUACUUGACCAUACCCAAUUCGGCGAAAGCAACUUAUGCAUUCGUUCUCGCCCAAAGCAUCAUGUCGUCGGCCGCCCGACACAAAACAAGGAGUAGGAAACAAAUGAAAAUUAAACUUAGCCUCUAAUCACAUUAGAGACGUCCCAACUUAACCCAAUCACAUACUUUCGCUAACUUUGAUUCCACGUCACUCACGUUUUCUAGAUCCUUAAGGUCUUCCAAUCCUAAGGGUCUCUAGGUCCAUUCCUAUUCUUUUACUCUUGGCUCUGAUACCACGAUAUCUGUCACGCCCCGGGACCGAUACCAAUUUGGCCCGGCCCGAGCACGUCAAAUAGACGCCGAACGGUCAGAGUUUCCCCUGUCCGCCCAAGGCUCAUCACAUGUACAUUUUCAAACAAGAAGUGCACUAGCGGAAACAUACAUAAACGGCUUACACGAGGGUAAGCAAUAGCCAUGAGUGAAAGAAAGGAAGCUAACUACUACAUAAGUAUUAUGAUUCAUUUUCGAUCAUAUACAUUUCAUUUCAUCCAACUUGUACAUUCAUAAGGUCUUUACAUUUCUUUUCAUCAUUUCUUUUUACAUCACAUUAGCUCAAAUGAAGCAUUACAUUCUUUGCUUUACAUCACUAGUCAUCAAAUACAAAAGAUGAUCAUAGGUAUACUACUACAAAAUGUAAAACUCGACUUGGUAGUCACUGUCAAAGGCGCGAUACCUUUACCGCAGUCGCUCGCCAGCUCGCUCGGUCCCGGCUCUGUGGAAUAGUGGGGUGAGAACUACAACAAAGUUCCCAGUGGGUUCGGCCCCAAUCUCACCGACUUUUCCACUAGAACUAACUCAGGCAUAAUAGAAAGGAUAAGCAAAAUAGUAGCCAAACUAUAAUGAUGAUGCUAAUAUGCCUGAACAAUAAAGCAGGAAGUAUGCUCAAUGUAAAUCAUGCAAGUAUGCAAGUUCUUUGUUCUUUACUCUUUGUUCUUUAACCUUUGUUCUUUGUUCUUUAAUCUCAAGGCUAACCCGGGGGUUUCGCGACAUUAACUUGCCCACAUUAAGUCCACCAUCGCAGGCCCUCAGCUGCCUACCACUAAGACUGUCCUUGGGUUUACUCCAACCCGUGAUGCAAAAACUCCGGAGCGCAUCGCUUGAGGAGGAGUGACCGCCCUUGAGCACGGAACUCAUAGCAAGUAUGAUCGAUCCUUAACUCUAAGGAUAUAUAGUUCAAUCAUUGUCUUUACACUAAUUCUAGUGUUCUUUACAUCACUUUAUUUUGCUAACUCUAGCAAUCAUUGUUCUUUAACUUUACUCGUUCUUUAUGUCACUUUCAUUUUCUUUCCCUGUCUCUAAUCAUUAUCAUUGUUCUUUGCGUCACAUUUCUUUUUGAUGCCACACACACUAACUCUAGUGUCACUUUUCUUUACAUUAUCAAAUGCCACUCGAUCUAUGUUUUAUUGUGUGACUUUGUUCUUUCAUCUCAUUGGGUGCUCACAUUAUAUCUCAUGCAUACAU
Molecule: long non-coding RNA, 7955 nt
Filed under: Ananas comosus (pineapple)
Lineage: Eukaryota; Viridiplantae; Streptophyta; Magnoliopsida; Poales; Bromeliaceae
Description: long non-coding RNA (ACOM_LNC010272)
Source: RNAcentral